This 307-nucleotide long non-coding RNA is filed under the name Ananas comosus (pineapple). RNAcentral's name for it is "long non-coding RNA (ACOM_LNC036427)". The record is from RNAcentral. Lineage: Eukaryota; Viridiplantae; Streptophyta; Magnoliopsida; Poales; Bromeliaceae.
UCAGAACCAGGUUCUCGAAUUUCAACACCGCCAGAUUUCCGACGACCGGUAUAUCCAGAUGACUUUCCUUUUUCUUUAUCCACAGCUUUGCCUUUCCCUUUAUCAAUGGCUUGUCCUUUCCCCUUUCCUUUUCUAGUAUCCUUUUCCUUAGCCAACACCUCUGGAGUAAAAGCCUCCCAGUCCGGUUCGUCCUCCUUAGAUUCAUCACCUGGGGCAUAUUCACUCCCUUCAUCCUCCGGUUGAUACUCAACUGGUCGUUUACCCGAGGAGCGCUGUCGUUUACUACCGCGACCACCCCCAGCCAUUA